UGCAAGUCGAGCGGUAACAGGUGUAGCAAUACAUGCUGACGAGCGGCGGACGGGUGAGCAAUGUUUGGGAAUCUGCCUAUUAGUGGGGGACAACCCGGGGAAACUCGGGCUAAUACCGCAUACGCUCUACGGAGGAAAGCCGGGGACCGCAAGGCCUGGCGCUAAUAGAUGAGCCCAAAUCGGAUUAGCUAGUUGGUGAGGUAAUGGCUCACCAAGGCGACGAUCCGUAGCUGGUCUGAGAGGACGACCAGCCACACCGGAACUGAGACACGGUCCGGACUCCUACGGGAGGCAGCAGUGGGGAAUAUUGGACAAUGGGCGAAAGCCUGAUCCAGCGACGCCGCGUGGGUGAAGAAGGCCUGCGGGUUGUAAAGCCCUUUCGGUGGGGACGAAAAGCCUCGACCUAACACGUCGGGGUCUUGACUUAACCCAAGAAAGAAGCACCGGCUAACUCUGUGCCAGCAGCCGCGGUAAUACAGAGGGUGCGAGCGUUAAUCGGAAUUACUGGGCGUAAAGCGCACGUAGGUGGCUUGACAAGUCGGUUGUGAAAGCCCCGGGCUCAACCUGGGAACUGCAUCCGAGACUGUCUUGCUAGAGUAUGGGAGAGGGAAGUGGAAUUUCCGGUGUAGCGGUGAAAUGCGUAGAUAUCGGAAGGAACAUCAGUGGCGAAGGCGACUUCCUGGACCAAUACUGACACUCAAGUGCGAAAGCGUGGGGAGCAAACAGGAUUAGAUACCCUGGUAGUCCACGCCAUAAACGAUGAGAACUGGAUGUCGGGAGGGUCUGCCUCUCGGUGUCGUAGCUAACGCGUUAAGUUCUCCGCCUGGGGAGUACGGCCGCAAGGUUGAAACUCAAAUGAAUUGACGGGGACCCGCACAAGCGGUGGAGCAUGUGGUUUAAUUCGAUGCAACGCGAAGAACCUACCUGGUCUUGACAUCCUAGGAAUCCUUCAGAGAUGAGGGAGUGCCUUCGGGAACCUGGAGACAGGUGCUGCAUGGCUGUCGUCAGCUCGUGUCGUGAGACGUUGGGUUAAGUCCCGCAACGAGCGCAACCCUUGCCCUUAGUUGCCAGCAUUUAGUCGGGAACUCUAAGGGGACCGCCGGUGACAAACCGGAGGAAGGUGGGGAUGACGUCAAGUCAUCAUGGCCCUUAUGACCAGGGCUACACACGUGCUACAAUGGUCGGUACAGAGGGUUGCCAAACCGCGAGGUGGAGCCAAUCCCAGAAAGCCGGUCGUAGUCCGGAUCGCAGUCUGCAACUCGACUGCGUGAAGUCGGAAUCGCUAGUAAUCGCGAAUCAGCGAUGUCGCGGUGAAUACGUUCCCGGGUCUUAUACACACCGCC
RNAcentral lists this ribosomal RNA (1343 nucleotides) under metagenome. RNAcentral's name for it is "bacterial SSU rRNA". It matches the Rfam family "Bacterial small subunit ribosomal RNA", at positions 56 to 1394 of the family's 1533-position model. The record is from RNAcentral.